GACGAACGCUGGCGGCGUGGAUUAGGCAUGCAAGUCGAACGGUAUCAUCCUUUCGGGGAUGAGAGAGUGGCGAACGGGUGAGUAACACGUAGGUGAUCUACCCUCAAGACGGGGACAACCCAGGGAAACUUGGGCUAAUACCGGAUGUGAGCUAUCGCGAGAUAGUUUGAAAGGUGGCUUCGGCUGCCGCUUGGGGAUGAGCCUGCGUCCUAUUAGCUAGUUGGUGAGGUAACGGCUCACCGAGGCAGUGAUAGGUAGGCGGCCUUAACGGGUGGUCGCCCACACUGGGAUUGAGAUACGGCCCAGACUCCUACGGGAGGCAGCAGUCGAGAAUAGUCUACAAUGGUCGAAAGACUGAUAGUGCGACGCCGCGUGAACGAAGAAGCCCUUCGGGGUGUAAAGUUCUUUUAUAUGUGAGCAGUGCUUUCUAUGUGAACAGCAUGGGGAGAGAGAUAUUAGCAUAUGAAUAAGCAACGGCUAACUCCGUGCC
This 490-nucleotide ribosomal RNA is filed under the name uncultured bacterium. RNAcentral describes it as "bacterial SSU rRNA". It matches the Rfam family "Bacterial small subunit ribosomal RNA", at positions 28 to 509 of the family's 1533-position model. The record is from RNAcentral.